ACGGCUCAGUAACACGUGGACAACCUACCCUAUGGAGGGGGAUAACCCCGGGAAACUGGGGAUAAUACCCCAUAGGCUAUGGAAGCUGUAAUGCUCUGUAGUCGAAAGGUCCGCCGCCAUAGGAUGGGUCUGCGGCCGAUUAGGUUGUUGUUGGGGUAACGGCCCAACAAGCCUGUAAUCGGUACGGGUUGUGGGAGCAAGAGCCCGGAGAUGGAUUCUGAGACACGAAUCCAGGCCCUACGGGGCGCAGCAGGCGCGAAAACUUUACAAUGCGGGAAACCGUGAUAGGGGAACUCUGAGUGCCCGUAAAAUCGGGCUGUCCAUCAGUUUAAAUAACUGGUGAAGAAAGGGCCGGGCAAGACCGGUGCCAGCCGCCGCGGUAAUACCGGCGGCUCGAGUGGUGGCCACUAUUACCGGGCUUAAAGCGUUCGUAGCUGGGUCGUUAAGUCUCUUGGGAAAUCUACCGGCUUAACCGAUAGGCGUCCAAGGGAUACUGGCGAUCUAGGGACCGGGAGAGGUGAGGGGUACUUCAGGGGUAGGAGUGAAAUCCUGUAAUCCUUGGGGGACCACCUGUGGCGAAGGCGCCUCACCAGAACGGCUCCGACAGUGAGGGACGAAAGCUGGGGGAGCAAACCGGAUUAGAUACCCGGGUAGUCCCAGCCGUAAACGAUGCGCGUUAGGUGUAUCGAUGACCACGAGUCAUCGAGGUGCCGAAGGGAAACCGUGAAACGCGCCGCCUGGGAAGUACGGUCGCAAGGCUGAAACUUAAAGGAAUUGGCGGGGGAGCAC
This 789-nucleotide ribosomal RNA is filed under the name uncultured Methanomicrobiaceae archaeon. RNAcentral describes it as "bacterial SSU rRNA". It matches the Rfam family "Archaeal small subunit ribosomal RNA", at positions 85 to 879 of the family's 1478-position model. Lineage: Archaea; Methanobacteriati; Methanobacteriota; Methanomicrobia; Methanomicrobiales; Methanomicrobiaceae. The record is from RNAcentral.